CCGAAGGAGGCAGGCAGGACUUAAAAUCCGUUGGGGCCAAAGCCCCGUGCGGGUUCGAGCCCCGCCUCCGGCACCA
RNAcentral lists this transfer RNA (76 nucleotides) under Clostridia bacterium. Its description in RNAcentral is "tRNA-OTHER". Lineage: Bacteria; Bacillati; Bacillota; Clostridia. The record is from RNAcentral.